CACCACGUGAAGUCGGUCCGACCAAAAAAUUUGGUAUCAGCGUGUCCUCCCUGGCCGAGCGGCCCGGGUAACCCACUGAACCUCCUUCGUGCUAGGGAUUGGGGCUUGCAAUUGUUCCCCAUGAACGAGGAAUUCCCAGUAAGCGCGAGUCAUAAGCUCGCGUUGAUUACGUUCCUG
RNAcentral lists this non-coding RNA (177 nucleotides) under Tribolium castaneum (red flour beetle). RNAcentral describes it as "Eukaryotic small subunit ribosomal RNA". It matches the Rfam family "Eukaryotic small subunit ribosomal RNA", at positions 1165 to 1655 of the family's 1831-position model. The record is from Rfam by way of RNAcentral. Lineage: Eukaryota; Metazoa; Arthropoda; Insecta; Coleoptera; Tenebrionidae.